This 2906-nucleotide ribosomal RNA is filed under the name Croceivirga sp. JEA036. RNAcentral describes it as "23S ribosomal RNA". It matches the Rfam family "Bacterial large subunit ribosomal RNA". The record is from RNAcentral. Lineage: Bacteria; Pseudomonadati; Bacteroidota; Flavobacteriia; Flavobacteriales; Flavobacteriaceae.
CGACAAGCUAAGCAAGGGCGUAUGGGGAAUGCCUAGGCUCCCAGAGGCGAUGAAGGACGUGGUAAGCUGCGAAAAGUCAUGGGGAACUGCACACGAGUGUUGAUCCGUGAAUAUCCGAAUGGGGCAACCCGCUAUGUUGAAGGCAUAGCAUCGAAAGAGGCCAACCCGCUGAACUGAAACAUCUAAGUAGGCGGAGGAAAAGAAAACAAGAGUGAUUCCGAGAGUAGUGGCGAGCGAAAUCGGAACAGCCCAAACCAGUGUUGUUUCGGCAAUACUGGGGUUGUAGGACCACGCUGUUCUCUGCGCGACGAACCAGAACACUUUGGAAAGAGUGGCCGUAGACGGUGAUAGCCCGGUACGGGUAAGGGACGUUAGAGAUAGUGGUAUCCUGAGUAGGACGGGGCACGUGAAACCCUGUUUGAAUCCGGCGGGACCAUCCGCCAAGGCUAAAUACUCCUGGGAGACCGAUAGUGAACCAGUACCGUGAGGGAAAGGUGAAAAGAACCCUAANNNNNNNNNNNNNNNNNNNNNNNNNNNNNNNNNNNNNNNNNNNNNNNNNNNNNNNNNNNNNNNNNNNNNNNNNNNNNNNNNNNNNNNNNNNNNNNCUAAACAAGGGAGUGAAAUAGAUCCUGAAACCAUACGCCUACAAGCGGUCGGAGCCCUUCGGGGUGACGGCGUGCCUUUUGCAUAAUGAGCCUACGAGUUACUUUUACUGGCAAGGUUAAGCACUUCAGGUGCGGAUCCGUAGCGAAAGCGAGUCUGAAUAGGGCGCCAUAGUCAGUAGUAGUAGACGCGAAACCGUGCGAUCUACCCAUGGGCAGGUUGAAGCUGUGGUAACACAUAGUGGAGGACCGAACCCGUUGACGUUGAAAAGUCUUGGGAUGACCUGUGGGUAGGGGUGAAAGGCCAAUCAAGCUCGGAAAUAGCUCGUACUCCCCGAAAUGCAUUUAGGUGCAGCGUUGAUUUAGUUUUAUAGAGGUAGAGCUACUGAUUGGAUGCGGGGGCUUCACCGCCUACCAAUUCCUGACAAACUCCGAAUGCUAUAAAAUGAUGAUCAGCAGUGAGGGCAUGGGUGCUAAGGUCCAUGUCCGAAAGGGAAAGAACCCGGACCAUCAGCUAAGGUCCCCAAAUAUGUGCUAAGUUGACAAAACGCGGUGGGACUGCAUAGACAGCCAGGAUGUUGGCUUGGAAGCAGCCAUUCAUUUAAAGAGUGCGUAACAGCUCACUGGUCGAGCGGUCCCGCAUGGAUAAUGAUCGGGCAUAAGCACAUUACCGAAGCUAUGGACUCCAAUGGAGUGGUAGGGGAGCAUUGUAGUGCCGCUGAAGGUGUACUGUGAGGUAUGCUGGAGGAGCUACAAACGAAAAUGUAGGCAUAAGUAACGAUAAUGCGGGCGAGAAACCCGCACGCCGAAAGACCAAGGUUUCCCCAGCUAUGCUAAUCAGCUGGGGGUCAGUCGGGACCUAACACGAACCCGAAAGGGGUAGUGGAUGGACAACAGGUUAAUAUUCCUGUACCUGCUAUACACUAAAAGUGACGGGGUAUCGGAGUUGGUGCGCACUGACGGAAUAGUGCGUUGAAGCGCAAGCGAUAGUACACCAAGGCCACGGCCGCGGUGAUAAUCCAGCGUAGAUACCUCCAAGAAAAGCGAGUAUAGCGGCCCGUACCGUAAACCGACACAGGUGGUUGGGAUGAGUAUUCUAAGGCGCUCGAGAGAUUCAUGGCUAAGGAACUAGGCAAAAUAGACGCGUAACUUCGGGAGAAGCGUCGCCUGCUUCGGCAGGCCGCAGUGAAAAGGUCCAGGCGACUGUUUAUCAAAAACACAGGGCUAUGCCAAUUCGAAAGAAGACGUAUAUGGCCUGACACCUGCCCGGUGCCGGAAGGUUAAAGGGAGAUGUUAGCUUAGGUGAAGCAUUGAACUGAAGCCCCGGUAAACGGCGGCCGUAACUAUAACGGUCCUAAGGUAGCGAAAUUCCUUGUCGGGUAAGUUCCGACCUGCACGAAUGGUGCAACGAUCUGGACACUGUCUCAGCCAUGAUCUCGGUGAAAUUGUAGUAUCGGUGAAGAUGCCGGUUACCCGCAGUGGGACGAAAAGACCCCGUGCACCUUUACUAUAGCUUCGUAUUGACCCUGGGCAAGGGAUGUGUAGGAUAGCUGGGAGGAUUUGAAGGCGUGUCGCCAGGCAUGUUGGAUCCAUUGUUGAAAUACCAGCCUUCGUUUGUCCGGGGCCUAACCUCUAACGAGGAACAGUGCGUGGUGGGUAGUUUGACUGGGGUGGUCGCCUCCAAAAGAGUAACGGAGGCUUCCAAAGGUGUCCUCAGCACGCUUGGUAACCGUGCGUAGAGUGCAAUGGCACAAGGACGCUUGACUGUGAGACAUACAGGUCGAACAGGUACGAAAGUAGGGCAUAGUGAUCCGGUGGUUCCGCAUGGAAGGGCCAUCGCUCAAAGGAUAAAAGGUACGCCGGGGAUAACAGGCUGAUCUCCCCCAAGAGCUCACAUCGACGGGGGGGUUUGGCACCUCGAUGUCGGCUCGUCACAUCCUGGGGCUGGAGAAGGUCCCAAGGGUUGGGCUGUUCGCCCAUUAAAGUGGCACGCGAGCUGGGUUCAGAACGUCGUGAGACAGUUCGGUCUCUAUCUACUGCGGGCGUUAGAAAAUUGAGUGGAUCUGACUCUAGUACGAGAGGACCGAGUUGGACUGACCGCUGGUGCACCAGUUGUUCCGCCAGGGGCAUUGCUGGGUAGCUAAGUCGGGAUGGGAUAAGCGCUGAAAGCAUAUAAGCGCGAAACCCGCCACAAGAUGGGUUUUCUUUAAAGGACCGUGGGAGACUACCACGUUGAUAGGCUAUAGGUGUAAGGGCAGUGAUGUCCGUAGCCGAGUAGUACUAAUUGUCCGUAGGCUUGCGCAC